This is a non-coding RNA of Salmo salar (Atlantic salmon), 75 nucleotides long. The record is from Rfam. Lineage: Eukaryota; Metazoa; Chordata; Actinopteri; Salmoniformes; Salmonidae.
GGGGAUCGGGUCUUCUGAGUCUGCAGUACUCAGGCUAUGUGUGCCUCUGCAGCAGGUGCAGGCCCAGCAAUUCUC